AACGUAGGAGGCAAGCGUUAUCCGGAGUUACUGGGCGUAAAGCGUGCGCAGGCGGAUGGGUAAGUGGGUCGUGAAAGCCUCCGGCUAAACUGGGGGAGGACGAUACAGACUGCUCAUCUAGAGGCGGAUAGAGGGGUGCGGAAUUCCGGGUGUAGCGGUGAAAUGUGUAGAGAUCCGGAGGAACACCAGUGGUGCAAACGGCGCCCUGGGUCCGAACUGACGCUGAGGCACGAAAGCGUGGGGAGCGAACGGG
This 253-nucleotide ribosomal RNA is filed under the name uncultured bacterium. RNAcentral describes it as "partial 16S ribosomal RNA". It matches the Rfam family "Bacterial small subunit ribosomal RNA", at positions 524 to 776 of the family's 1533-position model. The record is from RNAcentral.